UUUCUGGUGGUCCAGUGGUUAGGACUUGGCGCUUUCACUGCUAUCACCUGGAUUCAAUUUCUGGACAGAGAA
RNAcentral lists this transfer RNA (72 nucleotides) under Bos taurus (domestic cattle). It matches the Rfam family "tRNA". Rfam says of the family: Transfer RNA (tRNA) molecules are approximately 80 nucleotides in length. RNAcentral also lists the same sequence under 4 other names. The record is from Rfam by way of RNAcentral. Lineage: Eukaryota; Metazoa; Chordata; Mammalia; Artiodactyla; Bovidae.